GAGUUUCAGAACUAUGAUAGUAUUAAAGAUGAUUAUCUCCACGUAUGCAGCAGAAUGAUGCCCAUCAAAACAACCAUGUGCUGUAUCUCUACCCAUGAUGCUAUGAAACUAAACGUUGAGAUAACAAGUAUUUCAUGUUUUGCCAUGAUCAUGGCGUCGUGUGGGAACAGUAAAUACGUUACUUAGAAAUGCCCAGAAAUGUUAUCUGAACUACCUAUCUAAGAUGUUUAUCUAAUCUUUAUGUCACAAUAAUGCACGUUUUAGCAAUGGCUGUUCCAUAUCUUCAGUUGUGGAUGUAAUCGUUGAUGACAACUCUACUUGAACGUUUAUUUAUCUUCCAUUAUUUCUUUGUUCAUUAUUAGUUCACAUUCCAUAAAUCAGUAUAUCAUUUGUUUAAACAGUGUAUAAUAAUGCAUGCUAUAUCCAUGUAAAUAAUUUAUAACAAACUCUAUUUAAUAGGGAACACAUGAUAUAAUAGUGGUUUAUAAAUAGUUAAUAAACAAACCUUCAAACAAACUUUUUCCAAAACGUAUCUAUCCAGGCUAAUUAUUAAGAGAACAAAAUUACUUGUACCAGGCCCAGGAAAACCUCUAGGCCCUAGUAACCCUAUAGCAAGAACUGACCAGGUAGCCAGGAAAACCUCUAGGCCCUAGUAACCCUAUAGCAAGAACUGACCAGGUAGCCAGGAAAACCUCUAGGCCCUAGUAACCCUAUAGCAAGAACUGACCAGGUAGCCAGGAAAACCUCUAGGCCCUAGUAACCCUAUAGCAAGAACUGACCAGGUAGCCAGGAAAACCUCUAGGCCCUAGUAACCCUAUAGCAAGAACUGACCAGGUAGCCAGGAAAACCUCUAGGCCCUAAUAACCCUAUAGCAAGAACUGACCAGGUAGCCAGGAAAACCUCUAGGCCCUAAUAACCCUAUAGCAAGAACUGACCAGGUAGCCAGGAAAACCUCUAGGCCCUAAUAACCCUAUAGCAGGAACUGACCAGGUAGCCAGGAAAACCUCUAGGCCCUAAUAACCCUAUAGCAGGAACUGACCAGGUAGCCAGGAAAGACUUUGGGCCUAGUUACAGUACAAGUGAUACAUUCCACUCUUGGCCCUCUCAGUAUCUCACCCAGCCAGGAUGUUGAUGAUUACAGUACAGCCCACCAUGAAGGGAACCAUGGGGCUGCUACUCUUGGCGUUGAC
Long non-coding RNA from Oncorhynchus keta (chum salmon), 1190 nucleotides. RefSeq lists it as uncharacterized. NCBI's taxonomy places the organism in Eukaryota, Metazoa, Chordata, Actinopteri, Salmoniformes, Salmonidae. The transcript is spliced from 3 exons. The record is from RefSeq and is a predicted model, not a curated record.